UUGGUCCUACGGGACGCAGCAGUGAGGAAUAUUGGUCAAUGGGCGGAAGCCUGAACCAGCCACGUCGCGUGAGGGAAGAAGGCCCUGCGGGUCGCAGACCUCUUUGGACGGGGAGCAAGGCCGCCGACGUGUCGGCGGAAGGAGAGUACCCGUAGAACAAGCAUCGGCUAACUCCGUGCCAGCAGCCGCGGUAAUACGGAGGAUGCGAGCGUUAUCCGGAUUUAUUGGGUUUAAAGGGUGCGCAGGCGGCACGGCAAGCCGGCGGUCAAAUCGGGGGGCUCAACCCCGCCCAGCCUCCGGAACUG
Molecule: ribosomal RNA, 305 nt
Filed under: uncultured bacterium
Lineage: Bacteria
Description: bacterial SSU rRNA
Rfam family: Bacterial small subunit ribosomal RNA
Source: RNAcentral